This 269-nucleotide ribosomal RNA is filed under the name Enterobacter roggenkampii. RNAcentral describes it as "partial 23S ribosomal RNA". It matches the Rfam family "Bacterial large subunit ribosomal RNA", at positions 2662 to 2925 of the family's 2925-position model. RNAcentral also lists the same sequence under 2 other names. The record is from RNAcentral. Lineage: Bacteria; Pseudomonadati; Pseudomonadota; Gammaproteobacteria; Enterobacterales; Enterobacteriaceae.
UUGAGGGGGGCUGCUCCUAGUACGAGAGGACCGGAGUGGACGCAUCACUGGUGUUCGGGUUGUCAUGCCAAUGGCACUGCCCGGUAGCUAAAUGCGGAAAAGAUAAGUGCUGAAAGCAUCUAAGCACGAAACUUGCCCCGAGAUGAGUUCUCCCUGAGACUUUAAGUCUCCUGAAGGAACGUUGAAGACGACGACGUUGAUAGGUCGGGUGUGUAAGCGCAGCGAUGCGUUGAGCUAACCGAUACUAAUGAACCGUGAGGCUUAACCUU